GGUGGAUUCGUCUAACGGUUAGGACGCAUGCCUCUCACGCAUGAAAUACGAGUUCGAUUCUCGUAUCCACUACAA
Molecule: transfer RNA, 75 nt
Filed under: Bacteroides sp. AF16-49
Lineage: Bacteria; Pseudomonadati; Bacteroidota; Bacteroidia; Bacteroidales; Bacteroidaceae
Also listed under: 1 other name
Description: tRNA-Glu
Rfam family: tRNA
About the family: Transfer RNA (tRNA) molecules are approximately 80 nucleotides in length. Their secondary structure includes four short double-helical elements and three loops (D, anti-codon, and T loops).
Source: RNAcentral